RNAcentral lists this ribosomal RNA (301 nucleotides) under uncultured bacterium. RNAcentral describes it as "partial 16S ribosomal RNA". It matches the Rfam family "Bacterial small subunit ribosomal RNA", at positions 509 to 807 of the family's 1533-position model. The record is from RNAcentral.
CAGUCGCCGCGGUAAUGCGUAGGUGGCAAGCGUUGUCCGGAAUUAUUGGGCGUAAAGGGCUCGCAGGCGGUUUCUUAAGUCUGAUGUGAAAGCCCCCGGCUCAACCGGGGAGGGUCAUUGGAAACUGGGAAACUUGAGUGCAGAAGAGGGGAGUGGAAUUCCACGUGUAGCGGUGAAAUGCGUAGAGAUGUGGAGGAACACCAGUGGCGAAGGCGACUCUCUGGUCUGUAACUGACGCUGAGGAGCGAAAGCGUGGGGAGCGAACAGGAUUAGAUACCCCAGUAGUCCCUGUCUCUUAUAC